This 207-nucleotide ribosomal RNA is filed under the name uncultured bacterium. Its description in RNAcentral is "partial 16S ribosomal RNA". It matches the Rfam family "Bacterial small subunit ribosomal RNA", at positions 568 to 774 of the family's 1533-position model. The record is from RNAcentral.
AGCGUAGACGGAAUGGCAAGUCUGAUGUGAAAGGCCGGGGCUCAACCCCGGGACUGCAUUGGAAACUGCCAAUCUAGAGUACCGAAGGGGUAAGUGGAAUUCCUAGUGUAGCGGUGAAAUGCGUAGAUAUUAGGAGGAACACCAGUGGCGAAGGCGGCUUACUGGACGGUAACUGACGUUGAGGCUCGAAAGCGUGGGGAGCAAACA